This 321-nucleotide unclassified non-coding RNA is filed under the name uncultured fungus. RNAcentral's name for it is "partial contains small subunit ribosomal RNA, internal transcribed spacer 1, and 5.8S ribosomal RNA". The stretch from base 1 to 73 matches the Rfam family "Eukaryotic small subunit ribosomal RNA", at positions 1759 to 1831 of the family's 1831-position model. The record is from RNAcentral. Lineage: Eukaryota; Fungi.
GCAAACUUGGUCAUUUAGAGGAAGUAAAAGUCGUAACAAGGUUUCCGUAGGUGAACCUGCGGAAGGAUCAUUAUCGUAUCUACCCUUGGGGGGUUGGGUUCCCGCUCCUGCUCCGGCCGUGCAGCGGGUUCCCGGUCCCUUGAAAAACCACAAACCCACUGUGCACCUUUUCGUGGCGGAGGAUGCGGCGCGAGCCCGUCCAAAGCUGCGGCUUCACAAACAUGUGUAACAAAGAAUGUCGGUGCGGACACUGUUCCGCCCAUUAACGUGACAACUUUCAACAACGGAUCUCUUGGCUCUCGCAUCGAUGAAGAACGCAGC